RNAcentral lists this ribosomal RNA (254 nucleotides) under uncultured bacterium. RNAcentral describes it as "partial 16S ribosomal RNA". It matches the Rfam family "Bacterial small subunit ribosomal RNA", at positions 524 to 776 of the family's 1533-position model. The record is from RNAcentral.
CACGUAGGGGGCAAGCGUUGUCCGGAUUUAUUGGGCGUAAAGAGCUCGUAGGUGGUUCGGUAAGUCGGGUGUUAAACCCCCAGGCUCAACCUGGGGACGCCACUCGAUACUGCUGUGACUAGAGUCCGGUAGGGGAGCGUGGAAUUCCUGGUGUAGCGGUGAAAUGCGCAGAUAUCAGGAGGAACACCAGCGGCGAAGGCGGCGCUCUGGGCCGGUACUGACACUGAGACGCGAAAGCCAGGGGAGCAAACGGG